GCAGAGACUACUCAGAGACCAGGGACUGGGUAGCUGUGUAAAAGCUUUGACUGGAUUCAGACGAAAUGGAUAAUUCCCCUGCCCCGAGUUCCCUUCUUUGGAUUUACUUCUGAGGCUUGUUCAUCCAUGCUAAGACUAGGCUUACCAAGAGCACAGAUCAACGAGACCAAUAUGGUGAGUGUCCAGUAAUGCAUUAACGAUAGUCUGCUUUUUUUCAAGCCGUUUUCCUCUGUGGAUGUCCUUCUGCUUUAAUAGUACAUUCAACACUACAGCUACAGCAUAAGUAGCACCAAUUUUAAGGACAGAUGUUUUUGAG
This 316-nucleotide long non-coding RNA is filed under the name Struthio camelus australis. RNAcentral's name for it is "lncRNA (ENSSCUG00000011513.1)". Lineage: Eukaryota; Metazoa; Chordata; Aves; Struthioniformes; Struthionidae. The record is from RNAcentral.